This 6071-nucleotide long non-coding RNA is filed under the name Fragaria vesca (wild strawberry). Its description in RNAcentral is "long non-coding RNA (FVES_LNC002944)". Lineage: Eukaryota; Viridiplantae; Streptophyta; Magnoliopsida; Rosales; Rosaceae. The record is from RNAcentral.
CUAUUUUCAUCUUGUUAAGUCUGAGCGUCUCCUUCGAUUCUGCAUCCGCAAUCGGAGAGCGUCUCUCUCGCCGAGCUCCCAGCCAAUUCGAAAGUCCAGAGGUACGCCUUCGAUUUAGGUUUUCUCAUAUGAAUUUGAAUCUGUGUUUUCGUCUUCGCACCUUUGAAAUUUCCUUAUUCGUCUCCGAUUCAAAUCGAUUUCUUCUGUAUCUCUCUCAGAGCUUCAUCUCCGGCUGAAGAGUUGAGAUCUAACCGCCGACGAUUCGGCUCUCGCAGAUCGGAAGCAAAAGGUACACGCCUCUAUCUUAAACUUAUCUUAAUCGGUACUUCUUUGAAAUUAGGAAUUUGCACAUCUUAGGAUUCUUUUCGGUGAGGCGAGUGAUGUUGCUAUUGAUUUCUUUGUUUCUUGAUUCCGUUAAGAGUUUGUCUGAAAAAUUCAUUCCGGCGAAAGUGGGUCGGAAAUAGCACAAUUCUCAUUUGGAUUUCCAGAGGGAAUUUCAUUCACAGAUACAUACAUAUUAUGCGAUAUGAAUAGGAAACAAAGUGUUUUGGAAAUGCUAUGAGCUUUUUAUUACUUUCAGAAUGCCAGAAGAAACUUUUGUGCACUGUAUUUCGCUCUCCCUGCACCAUUUUCUAAUCUAUUAAAGCUUACAAUCUUCGGUCACUUUGCUCAAAGCAAAUAGCAAUUAUGUUAAAACUGCAUGACAUCUAUUGGAUUAUGCUGGCUGUUUUUACAAAUUGGCUAAAUCCCUCUUUGUUCAUGUGAGGAUACAACUUAAACUAAAACUACCCUUUUUUUUCUUCUAUUCUCAACAAGCCGAUUUACAAUAGCUGAAUCAGCUGCCACUCAAUCUUGAUUUCUCUGGUGCUCUUUAGACAUGCUUCUUUGAAAAUUUUGGAAUGGCUACUCCUCUUUCUUGUCUUUUGGUUUGGCCAACCUGCUGGCUGGGAAGUGCAGCCGGGCCAUUAAAGGACGUGGACCUCUUGAUUUCUGAUCAAAUCCCCUCACGCACACAAAUCCUGCACAUCGAUUAAGCAACUCUUUAGGGAACAUAUUUUAUUUGGCCGUAGGUUUCUUAGGAACUUUCUACACGCAAUUUGUGACACAAAAACAAAGUCCAAUAAAAGGUGAAAUAAAACACAUUUGAUAAGCUAAUAUCAAAUUUCAUUCGUAGUAAGGUGUAAUCUGGUAAUAUUUGAAGUAAUAUGAUUCAUGUACGAAACCAGAAAUCCUUGUAUUACUCAUUCUGUACAUUUUUCCCAUGAACCUACAAAGUGCUAGUACAAGAGCUAUGUCAAGGGAAUUCAUUAGAAGGAUAUAUUUUAAAUAUCGCUAGGUCUUAUAUGUUAGAAGGGAAGUAGGUUUUAUAUCUCUUGCAAGGAUAAGGUUUUGAAUAUGUGUAGAGACAAGUAUAUCCUGUACCCAUAGGGGAGAAUGUGCAUACAAGUUACAAAUGAAACUAAUAUGGAUGACAUGAGAAAUAGGAAGCAGCAUAUUUCCAUACCUCUCCAAAAGCACUGUUGAAUUUCUGGUGUUGUUAACCCUGGUAAGAAGAAGUACAUUAGAUGAGAAAUCCGUUAUAUCAGUAGUCCGUAUUAUAAGAGUGUAAAGUUUUACAAUCUUUACCUUUGAAUAUUGUCGGUAUUGAGGUUCCGAAGUACACAGUUCUCCUAUUCAGAUUCCACAACCAGCCUCUUGGAACAUCAAGAGGCUCAAGGCUCGAAUCAUGAUCAGCAAAUACCUGCAUUGGACAUCAUAUGUAAUCAAUAUCCCCAACUUGAAAUAGAUUCAUUAAGAUAUGAAGAAACUGAGGCUAGUUAAAUAAUCUCUCACCUCGUUAACUUGAAAGUAGGUGCCGUUAAGUGGGAAGCUCCCUCUCAUUGCUGUUCGGCAUGGUAUCUGUCCAUGAUGUAUUUCAAGAACAGUAAAUAUUUGUUAUUGUCAUCAUCUUAUAGUGGUGUUUCAAGUGUUUCAUUGUUUUACUUUUGCUAUGGUUAUAAUUAUUGGUGGCUUUAACACUAUACAUGGCUAUGAAGGUAUUUUUAGUUUAUUAGCAUAUUCUUACCAAGAGAGUCCCUCGAACUGUUUGUGAAUAUGCUUCCCGUGCACUAUUGCAUUGGAAACAUUCCUUAUCGUCACACAAUUUUCCGAAUUCUUGAGAACUACACCUAUUCUCUGGAGGUUGAAUGGAGUUUGCUGUUUCACCUGGCAUGAACAACAAGGUAAGUUAGUUUGAUUCAGCUAUUAAACUUAUAGAAAUAAUAGAAAAUAUAUUAGCUUUGGGCAGGCCACCUUCUGAGGGGAGCAUUUCUUAAACCAGUUUCUUAGUGGCACAGAUGAUAAUAGUACUCAUUAUCACACUUGGGACUGUUCUUAGGGGUUCCUAAAGAUAUGUUGCCCACUUUGGAAGAUGGUCCUAGGUUAAAUUCUUUAAAAGAGGGAAAAAUAGGAAAAUUAAAAAUUAAUUGCCAAACUAAAUUCUAUAUAGUUUGGGAUUUCUAUAUCAUCUGCUUACCUGGUGUCCAAAUGGCCAAAAGGUAAUUGCAUGGAUCAUCAGGUUCGCGCUUAUCCAUCCCCAACUGUAUUAGGCACAAAGCCAGAUUUGGGUUAAAAUUUUGGAGUACUUGGCAAAAACAAGAAGAGGAAUAUAAAAACAAUACUUAGCCAUGAUUUUGGCACUCCACUUUCCCAUAACUUAGAGUGCAAGUGCUAAAGUGGAGUGCCAUAGUCCCUCCCAUUAAACAAUUUAGCAUGUAGAUAUUACUUACUCGAUCUAGAAGAGGGUGUGAAUCAGGAAGUUCAUAGCUGCAUUACGAAGAACAAGAAUUAGCAACAUAAAAAAGCUAGGGUCAUUGUUAGGUGAUAACAUCAUAGUAAUAUUAUGGUCUACAAAACUAUGGAGUUUUUUUCCUAACUAAAUCUUGUUUGUUUUUUAAGUAACUAGACUUUCAAUCCCUAUAUUUUCGCUGUUCCUUUGAUUCUUGGCUUGAAAGUUGGACAUGGUUUUCGAAUCUUCUUGAAAUAAUUAGAGUGAUGUCAAUGCAUGCUUACACUUGGUGCUCAGUUCGUAGUCGGCUCACAUUCUUAAGCUUUGGUGUAGGAAGAGAUGCAGCGUCUGGUGUUAGAGCAACUAAUGCCUUUGACAUUUCUCCUUGUUGAAGUUCCAUGUUUUGUUGCAUAUAAUUUUGCAAGUUCUGAGUGAACUGUUCCAUGUUAAGUUUAAUUGUAGGAAUUUCAUUUGGGUCCUCGUAGAAAUCCUCAAUGUCUUCUACUAUCUCUGUGCACUCUGGUUCUGGGGAUGCUGGCUCUUCAAUAAUAGGUUCAGUAUAACCAAGUGCAGACUUUGGUCUUGAUUGUUGGCUUGCUUCAAGUUGCUGGUUUCCUCCCAACUGUUCUGUUGGGUGAGGAUGAGGGAGAGGGAGAGGGAUAGGUAAAGGCAUUCUGUUGUUGAUCUCACCAGGGUUUCGAUACUUAUUUCUAUUUUGUGUUGCACUCACUAUGCUUUUCUCCUCGGGCCCUGGCAAGGCAAGUCUUGCACUGCAUCAAUAAAUGUUAUUAGUAAAUCUGUCAAAUAAAGUAGCUGUAAAGUGGGUCUUAUAAGGAUCAGUAGUUGGCUGGUUAAUAGCCUACGAUAUUUGGUGAAUAGGUAAUAAUGGGCCUUUUAUUACAUAACAAUAUGAUUCACAAACCCUUUUUCUUUUUUCUUGAACUACGUAUGUUUUUUAUUUCCAUGUGUUGAUAAAGCAAAGUCAUAGCUGUUAUAUUCCCUAAUCCCUAUUUAAUAUAAUUUUAACCAUAUAUUUGUUUAGGACUAGUUUUACUCAUCAGGAUGUUUUCUUCUUAGUGGUGGACAAAUGAACACAUUUUCUUAUCUAUUGGAAUUACCUACACGAUGGAGUUUGUGACUUUAAUUAAAAUGCAAAGCUGGAGCAAUUAGUAUACAAACCUUGCAAAUGCACUUGCAAAAUGUCUACAUUCUCCUCUCAUUGGACAUGCAUUGCAAUUCGGUUUGCUUUUCGUGCAGAAGACCUGCAUCAAUGAAUGCCAUUUUAUCAGUUCUAAGCCUGUGGUCAGACAGAGGAAUUCACUUCAUAUAUAUCACGAGACAAGACAACAUACCUUUCCAAAUGUUAUCAUCUGGUAGUGCAGCUCGUACCUGUUAGCAAAUAUUGAAAGGGUUUAGCCUAUUGGUAUCUGAUUUAUUGAAGACCAAACUUUGUUUUCAGAAUCUGCAAGAUCAUUUUUAUAAAACACGCUAGUGUAUUGGGGUAAGAAUAUGAAUUUGUACUAACAAGGUUCGUUGGUCAAGCUUGCAGAGUCUUGGCCACAAGUACUUCUGUAUGGAUUCCAGCACCGGGUACCUUUGAAAGACUUAAGCAUUAGUAAUAUGUUGACCUAUGUGGAAAUAAUUUCCGUUAGUGACAUGGUGGCUCAUUAUACUAACAGUUCUAGAAGAUGCAACUGCAGUGACUCGGGCAAGGGCUGAAGAGGUACCCAUCCCAGCCGUACAGCUAUACGUCCAACAUUUGUAUCGACCUACAAAGACAAAUGAUAUAUGUUGAGAUGCUUCGUCUAUUAUUCAGACAUACUUGAUAUAUAUAUAUAUAUAUACAGAAAGGAUGUAGAGCGGACGUCCGCACUCGGCUUAAAAUGCGGACGUUCGUCUGUUCUCCAUCCUCCGGCUCCGGCGAUGGCGGGCCUCCACCCUAGAAGACUCCAGCCGCGUCCCCGACCACUUCCCCUCCCCGGCGAGUCCGUUUUUUUCCAGUUUCCGGCGAGAUCGACUUUGUUUGAAGUUUUGGGUGAUCUCGCUAGAAAACCGGAAAAGAAUGGACUCGCCGGGGAGGGGAAGUGGUCGGGGGCGCUGCUGGAGUCUUCUGGGUGGAGGCACGCCGUCGCCGGCGCCGGAGGGUGGAGAACGGACGGACGUCCGCACUUUAAGCCGAGUGCGGACGUCCGCUUCAUAUCCUUCCUGUAUAUAUACAUAUAUAUAUAUAUAGAUACUCACCGGAAAAGCAAGAUGGUGAAGUGUUAAAAGCCUCACACACUCCACGCUUUUUAGCCCCAGUCCACGGAAGCUCAGCAGAUACUCUCUACAGGCAUAGGCAUAUGGAACACAAAUCACAGAAGUUUGAUGCAUAAUUUCACUACUUUAGGAGCAUAUCCAUGGCAAUUGUUAAGACACUUGCAAGUAAGUAAUUAGUUCUAGACUUUGGUUUUCAUAAUUGUAAAAUUGGCCUGUAAUAAUUCUAUGGGCUUACUUUGCUUGGUCAGGUGGAACAUCCCGCAACCAUUCAAGAUCAACACUCCCAUGUUCUCUAAGUAGUCGGUUAAGGAAUUCCUGCACAAAUAUCUCAAUCAUGUUGGUGUGUACAGGUAAAUGAAUUUGUUAAUUAUAAUUUUACAUUAUAGUUAUAGGUACCUUGAUUCUUUCUGCAAGCAUAUUAUUCAUCCCCCUUUCUUUGAUAGUUUGGGCAAUGUCAUUCACAUUUGCAGUUCUUACAGCUUCCCAGUCCACGGAAUCCAUUGUGUUUGCUGUUUUUUCCCUUUUUCUUCCGUUUGGUUCUGCUCGUUCUCUUAAUUUGUCCCAGUCCUGCUGAGCCUUUUUGUCUUUUCCAGGUCUUCUGUUCUUUGUCUUUGAGGUAGCAGCAUCCUUUUUACUGACUUCGUUGAAGCUUAAAUCUGACUCAGGUCCCUUAUGCAUAAUAUCUGCGGUCUCUCCAGAAAUGUUGCAACUUUGCUGAAUCUUAUUUGUGUGCUUCUCAGUAGGUACGUAAACCUUAUUUGGGUUCCCACCAACCCUGAAUUGAGACAGAACCACAUUACUUUUUCCUUGAAUGCAAGUGCAUGAUUCACUGAAACAUCUCUGUGCAUCUUGAUCAUUGACAGUAAGCUUAAUACUUGUUGUAUCUUGACUCACAGAUUCUGCUGUUAGUACACUCUGUUCCCCCAGACUGUCUUCGUAAUUGUUCUUGAAAAUAUUAGAAGAAUGGAUUACCUCUUCAAUCAAUUCAGAGCACUCAACUUGCACUACUUCUGGGUUGGAGGUAUUAUGUACACAGCAAUUAUUG